Molecule: ribosomal RNA, 770 nt
Filed under: uncultured bacterium
Lineage: Bacteria
Description: bacterial SSU rRNA
Rfam family: Bacterial small subunit ribosomal RNA
Source: RNAcentral
GAGUUUGAUCAUGGCUCAGGAUGAACGCCGACAGAAUGCUUAACACAUGCAAGUCUACUUGAUCCUUCGGGUGAAGGUGGCGGACGGGUGAGUAACGCGUAAAGAACUUGCCUUACAGACUGGGACAACAUUUGGAAACGAAUGCUAAUACCGGAUAUUAUGAUUGGGUCGCAUGAUCUGGUUAUGAAAGCUAUAUGCGCUGUGAGAGAGCUUUGCGUCCCAUUAGUUAGUUGGUGAGGUAACGGCUCACCAAGACGAUGAUGGGUAGCCGGCCUGAGAGGGUGAACGGCCACAAGGGGACUGAGACACGGCCCUUACUCCUACGGGAGGCAGCAGUGGGGAAUAUUGGACAAUGGACCAAAAGUCUGAUCCAGCAAUUCUGUGUGCACGAUGAAGUUUUUUGGAAUGUAAAGUGCUUUCAGUUGGGAAGAAGUCAGUGACGGUACCAACAGAAGAAGCGACGGCUAAAUACGUGCCAGCAGCCGCGGUAAUACGUAUGUCGCAAGCGUUAUCCGGAUUUAUUGGGCGUAAAGCGCGUCUAGGCGGCUUAGUAAGUCUGAUGUGAAAAUGCGGGGCUCAACCCCGUAUUGCGUUGGAAACUGCUAAACUAGAGUACUGGAGAGGUAGGCGGAACUACAAGUGUAGAGGUGAAAUUCGUAGAUAUUUGUAGGAAUGCCGAUGGGGAAGCCAGCCUACUGGACAGAUACUGACGCUAAAGCGCGAAAGCGUGGGUAGCAAACAGGAUUAGAUACCCUGGUAGUCCACGCCGU